GACACGGACAGGUCUCGAUAGACCGUACAGAAAUAGCCACGAUAGGCCAGACACAGAUAGCCACAAUAUGCAGACAUGGGACAGGCCUUGAUAGACCGUACAGAAAAAUAGCCAUGAUAGCCGGACACGGACAGGUCUCGAUAGACCGUACAGAAAUAGUCACGAUAGGCAGACACAGACAGGCCUUGAAAGACCAUACAGAUAUAGUAACACCACCACCAGUAAUUGCAUGAAUUUACCUGAUUAGUUACAGGAGAGCUUGCUGAGCUUCAAUAAUGGUUUUGAAUCAGGUCUGAUGUAUGAUUCAAAUGCUUAGGAAGACCAUCUGCCCAUGAUCUUAACAGCUGAUGUAGAGAUCCCUCAUUCAGCUGCUGAAGUAGCUGCCCCAAUUCUGAAUGAAUGGCCAGUAGAUAGACUGCAGCUUUGAGAACAGUGGUUAAGUGAGUUCUAAACAGCCUUGGAAAGGGGGCUCCGUUAGGAAAAAUAGAGCUGGUGCGUUUUAGAAAUUCUAGGUCGGAUUUUUAAGAAAUUU
This is a long non-coding RNA of Carassius gibelio (silver crucian carp), 532 nucleotides long. RefSeq lists it as uncharacterized. The transcript has 2 exons. NCBI's taxonomy places the organism in Eukaryota, Metazoa, Chordata, Actinopteri, Cypriniformes, Cyprinidae. The record is from RefSeq and is a predicted model, not a curated record.